AUCCAAUGAUGAGCCUUGGCAUGUAUUAUCUGAAACUAAAGUUGAUGACUGUCACUACUCCUUUUUAGCUCUUAGAAUUACUCUUGAGACCU
Chelonia mydas (Green sea turtle) is the source of this 92-nucleotide small nucleolar RNA. RefSeq annotates it as small nucleolar RNA SNORD45. The record is from RefSeq and is a predicted model, not a curated record. NCBI's taxonomy places the organism in Eukaryota, Metazoa, Chordata, Testudines, Cheloniidae. The transcript has a single exon.